RNAcentral lists this ribosomal RNA (564 nucleotides) under uncultured Bifidobacterium sp. RNAcentral's name for it is "bacterial SSU rRNA". It matches the Rfam family "Bacterial small subunit ribosomal RNA", at positions 146 to 711 of the family's 1533-position model. Lineage: Bacteria; Bacillati; Actinomycetota; Actinomycetes; Bifidobacteriales; Bifidobacteriaceae. The record is from RNAcentral.
UCUCCUGGAAACGGGUGGUAAUGCCGGAUGUUCCACAUGAGCGCAUGCGAGUGUGGGAAAGGCUUUUUGCGGCAUGGGAUGGGGUCGCGUCCUAUCAGCUUGUUGGUGGGGUAACGGCCUACCAAGGCGUUGACGGGUAGCCGGCCUGAGAGGGCGACCGGCCACAUUGGGACUGAGAUACGGCCCAGACUCCUACGGGAGGCAGCAGUGGGGAAUAUUGCACAAUGGGCGCAAGCCUGAUGCAGCGACGCCGCGUGCGGGAUGGAGGCCUUCGGGUUGUAAACCGCUUUUGUUCAAGGGCAAGGCACGGUUUCGGCCGUGUUGAGUGGAUUGUUCGAAUAAGCACCGGCUAACUACGUGCCAGCAGCCGCGGUAAUACGUAGGGUGCAAGCGUUAUCCGGAUUUAUUGGGCGUAAAGGGCUCGUAGGCGGUUCGUCGCGUCCGGUGUGAAAGUCCAUCGCUUAACGGUGGAUCCGCGCCGGGUACGGGCAGGCUUGAGUGCGGUAGGGGAGACUGGAAUUCCCGGUGUAACGGUGGAAUGUGUAGAUAUCGGGAAGAACACCA